Molecule: ribosomal RNA, 497 nt
Filed under: uncultured bacterium
Lineage: Bacteria
Description: partial 16S ribosomal RNA
Rfam family: Bacterial small subunit ribosomal RNA
Source: RNAcentral
GAUGAACGCUGGCGGCGUGCCUAAUACAUGCAAGUCGAGCGAACGGACGAGAAGCUUGCUUCUCUGAUGUUAGCGGCGGACGGGUGAGUAACACGUGGAUAACCUACCUAUAAGACUGGGAUAACUUCGGGAAACCGGAGCUAAUACCGGAUAAUAUUUUGAACCGCAUGGUUCAAAAGUAAAAGACGGUCUUGCUGGCACUUAUAGAUGGAUCCGCGCUGCAUUAGCUAGUUGGUAAGGUAACGGCUUACCAAGGCAACGAUGCAUAGCCGACCUGAGAGGGGGAUCGGCCACACUGGAACUGAGACACGGUCCAGACUCCUACGGGAGGCAGCAGUAGCGAAUCUUCCGCAAUGGGCGAAAGCCUGACGGAGCAACGCCGCGUGAGUGAUGAAGGUCUUCGGAUCGUAAAACUCUGUUAUUAGGGAAGAACAUAUGUGUAAGUAACUGUGCACAUCUUGACGGUACCUAAUCAGAAAGCCACGGCUAACUACGUG